AUUGAACGCUGGCGGCAGGCCUAACACAUGCAAGUCGAGCGGAUGAAGGGAGCUUGCUUCUGGAUUCAGCGGCGGACGGGUGAGUAAUGCCUAGGAAUCUGCCUGGUAGUGGGGGAUAACGUCCGGAAACGGGCGCUAAUACCGCAUACGUCCUGAGGGAGAAAGUGGGGGAUCUUCGGACCUCACGCUAUCAGAUGAGCCUAGGUCGGAUUAGCUAGUUGGUGGGGUAAAGGCCUACCAAGGCGACGAUCCGUAACUGGUCUGAGAGGAUGAUCAGUCACACUGGAACUGAGACACGGUCCAGACUCCUACGGGAGGCAGCAGUGGGGAAUAUUGGACAAUGGGCGAAAGCCUGAUCCAGCCAUGCCGCGUGUGUGAAGAAGGUCUACGGAUUGUAAAGCACGUUAAGUUGGGAGGAAGGGCAGUAAGUUAAUACCUUGCUGUUUUGACGUUACCAACAGAAUAAGCACCGGCUAACUUCGUG
This 484-nucleotide ribosomal RNA is filed under the name uncultured bacterium. RNAcentral's name for it is "partial 16S ribosomal RNA". It matches the Rfam family "Bacterial small subunit ribosomal RNA", at positions 30 to 507 of the family's 1533-position model. The record is from RNAcentral.